Molecule: long non-coding RNA, 5444 nt
Organism: Triticum aestivum (bread wheat)
Lineage: Eukaryota; Viridiplantae; Streptophyta; Magnoliopsida; Poales; Poaceae
Exons: 7
Source: RefSeq, a predicted model, not a curated record
GAUAAGGUUGUUUAUUUAGUGAGAUGAGGAUUAAACCUUUCUUGGGGUUGUUCGGAUUGGAUACGGACUUUCUGCCAAUUCUGUUUCCCAUAAACUCGUUUAAAGGGCUAACCACAUGAAAUUUGUUAGCGUACCCAAAAUUAUAGUUUUUUUAGGGACAGAAUUAGUAAAACUUGGUUUUAGUAGAACAGGCAAAGAACUUUGGUCAAGGAGGCUAGCUUCCUCUUCCUGGAGAUUGGAUCUGCCAAUCCUGACCAAAUUUUGAAUUGUACAGACCCACAAUGCAUUUCAACAAAGCCAAACACAAUGUCAGAAUCAUACAGAUUUAUGCAAGGUAACCUGACAUAAAAGUCAGUACUCUACAAUGGUGACAGUCAUACUAAUGUACAAUUUGUAAAAAUCGAAUGCAAAGCUUGGUCUGCAUCUUUUGGCAAAUAGCAUAAGGUUGAUGUUUCUAAUCCUGUACAUGGUACUUUGGAAUCACCUUCUUCAUUGAAUUUUGAGGCCUGAAAUUGAUGUUUAAGAACGUGUUAGAAAUUAAGGACAGCUGCAUGCUAAAUCUUAUCACAGAGGUACAGAAAAAAGCAGAUCAACAUAUUAUGUUCCUUUUCUUCAUAUCGAAGUAUCUGUCGCCUAGAAAAACUCAUCCUUUAAUAGUUGAGAUAGUAGAGAUAUGAGGAGAUCACUGAUGGCUUCACUCAGCUUGGGUUCUUCAUUAAUUAUCAGAUACAUAGUUCCUUGUCCAUGUAUUAGUCCCUGACAGUAGUAUGGGGUUGAAUAUCGCAGGGCGCGUCUGUAGCCGGUAACAGUAGUAGUCCCUGACAGAGACACACAACCGGCUGUUCCCCUCUGUGGAAAGACGUGAAAGAAGAAGGUUAGGUACCAUAUGGAAGGACAGAGAACUUUUUCUGGCAUAUAAGCAUACCAACCAGGCGCACCUGAAUCGUUAUCACGGUUUCCUCUUGGUUGUUGUGCAACCUCCCAAGGGACAUUGUGCUUAGGGAUAUUUGGAUGCCAACCAAGCUCCCCCCUUGGAAAAAAGAGGGGAUACGAGAGCGGGUCAUAACAGCCAUCUGUGGCAUGUAUACUAUACUUCUCGUUGGUGUCCCCAUAGAGUGUAAUGCUGCGGUUGAACCUGUUUGCUAGAUCGCUUCCCUCGACCCAAAUCGCAGCCACCUCGGAUGACACGGGUCUAUUAUAUCUUCGUUGGUCUAGCUUCUGGUCAAUGUUGAGGUCUAUCCGGUACUCCUCGAGGUUUUCCUUGUGGGCACCCAAACUCCUAAACUGUUGGGAGUAGGGGUUUUCCCUGAGGACGUCCACUAACUUGCUGACAACGUGCUGGUCCAAUUGCUUGGUGGCCUCCUUGCGAUGGCUUAAGCUUGGAUCGUCAUCGUAGAAGUACAACUGCAGAUGUUCAGGGCGAGAUCUUGGACCGAACGAGUGCACCCUGUGGUACAUAGUGCCAUGUGCCCGAAACGUGUACACCCCGGACUUCAUGUUUGUGUAGUUGUUGUCUAGGCUGACGCCAAGGGUAGUGAAGGCAAAGUGCCCGUUGAAGAACCGAAUGCUCUCCCGGAAAUGCCGAGAGUCUGCAUCCGCGCUAGACCAUAACCUCAUCAGCUCUGGGAUAGGCUCGGGUUCAGCUAGCUCAAUCUCCCCGUUCCGACAGCAGAAGCCGUCAGUCUCGUACUGGAACUUCUUGGCCUUGCAAUGCUCGCAGUUUGCCGCGUGCUUUAGGAUGUGUGUGCUGUCUGGGAUGUUCGAGUAGACAUAGUCGAAAGGAUCUAGGUCGAUAGAUCCCGUGUUGGAGGAUUCUACGGGCUCAUCGAGGUCCGUGCUAUCAGUGUCGGAUGCUGCAAGCAUUGUGGAGAUAUAACAAGUCACGAUGGGAUGCACAUCAUAAACCAAUAAUAUAGAGGGAUGAGCAGCGAAAGGCGCCUCGGAGUACCUUCACCGGCAAAUAGGUAGUACUCAUCAUCCAUGAGGUCACCGGAGAGUGCAUUCUCGUCCAUGAUGCCGCUAAGGAAGGCCUCCAUGUCAGCUGUAACAUUGUUGAGCCGGUAAGUAAUGGUUUUUAUUGUGAGUGCACACCAGGAGGGGAGUAAACAUGAGAGGGUUACCAUUGGUUCCGAUGGUGUACGAUGGCAUGCUUGAUGAAGGGGAGGAAGCCGGUGAAGCAACUCCUGUGGGCGGUGCUUCUGAGCUUGUUGCUGCUCUGUUCACAUCUAAGGUACUUGCAUCUGGGCCUGGAGGCCUCCGCUUUUUUUGAAAGCUUGCAUUACGACGAUCUAGCAAAGCUGACUUCUCACCUUCUGGUAUGCUUUCCCCGCGCGCUCUUCGUUUUAAGGCACUCCCUUGAAUGUUCUUUGCUGUAAUACUUUGUUUGUGAGCUCGCUCCCGAGCCCUACGCUGUGCUCUGCUCUCCUGCCUCUGCUCCUGGGCUUGAUUCUGCUGGUCGUCUAUUUGGUGAUCAUUGGUUUGCUGCGAGGGAUUUAUGAGUUCGCUGGGGGCAUCAUUAUCAUCCAGGGUACGACUAAGGUACUCGCCUGCACCGCUGUGGAGCCGUUAAAUACUGGUUCAAUGCACAUGGACAGAACAAGUAGAGUAAAGAUGGAAGGAUUACCGUCUGAUUCGAAGUUGUUCCCAGCCUUACUCGCAAACCGGGGGGCAGGGGCAGGAGCUGAAGCUUCGGAUUCUCUGAAUGCCAACGCAUGAGUGCUCGACAUCAGGUUGGGUGUAGCUAAGGCACCUGCAUCAGGGCGCGGCAUUGCAAUGAAUUCAGCGCAAGGGGUGUUGUGCCUAGCCGCGAGUCUCUUCUUGCGCUGAGCUAGCAUGUUCUGCUUCUCCUUAGGUGAUUUGUUUUGCAGACGUGUUCUUCGGCGGGUGUUUGUCUCUUGGUUGUCAUGGACUGCCAUAUUUUGGUAGGCCGCCCUUCUAAGGGUGUUACUCUGUUGCUUCUCCUCUGGUGUCAUUCGUUGCCUGGCUUCUCUUUGACGGGCACUCCUCUCCUACUCUGUUUUUUUCCUAGCUUCUCUGCGACGUGCAUUGAUUUCCUCCUUCUGUUCAGGUGUUAAUCUAUUUCGCCGUGCCAUAUAUUGGUCUCGCCUUUUCUGUUUUCUAUCUGAUUUAAUGAUAUCAUUUGAAGCAAUGUGCUCGGGGACAGUGUCUUCAGUGUCGAGUCCAAGUGCUAUGUUUGAACCAAUAUUAUGAUCAAUGCUUCUCUCUGUUCCUCGAAGUGAUGCAUGGUGAUCAUAGUAAGUGCCUUCACGAGAAUGAUUUCCUGAAGAACCAUUUUGUUUUAACAAAUGUAUAAAUGCAAACUGAAAAAAAGUCGUGUGUAAGGGCGAUACCGAUUGAUGUUUCCACAUGCGGCACUGGCUGAAAGGCCUUGAGAUUGCUGGCUAUAGGAAUCAUCAUAGGCAGUUGCGUCGGCACAUUGUCAUCAUCAUCAGAAGACGAAACACUAUAGUUAGUAGUGCCUGUUUGUUCGCGUAUGAAAAAACCAGAUGGUGGUCGGUGUGUAUUGGUGAGUUGUGAUCUGGGUGUCCUCUCAUAUUCGACAACUGAUAAGAUUAAUGUAAGUUAAGUUGUGAAGUUUAUUGAAUACCUUAUGUGCAGACAUGUGAUUGGCAUACACAUACCUUUUUUUCCUUUAUCAUAGAGAUGCUCUCUGUCCUGUGACAUCUUUCUGUCCUAUAGAAGCUUAAAUAAACCUGCAGUCUUUUUGCAUUAAAAAAUGAUAUGAAUUGAAUUACAAAAAUGAUAUGACCUCUGGUGACUCAUUUAACAGGCUUUUUGGGCUCACUUGUUCAUUUUGAUAGACAUGUUCUUCGCAUAUGGUUUUAAAAUGAUUGUGCUAUUAUAUGUUGACGGCUGAAGUUUGUAUAUUUCAGUUUAUAAAGUGCAAGAUUUUGUAGAAGUUCAAUUUUUUAAAAAGAGGGCUUAGACAUGGCGACAAGAAUGAAGGUGGAGGGGAAGGAGUGGAGAGAAAGAUGUCUGUCUCCACGUGGUGCGAAAAAGACUAUACAGGAUUCUGUAUUAUGCCGCGUUAAAACAAUCUGGAAUAUAAAGGAUUCUGGAGUUUAUAAAGUGCAAGAUUUUGUAGAAGUUCAAUUUUUUAAAAAGAGGGCUCAGACAUGGCGACAAGAAUGAAGGUGGAGGGGAAGGAGUGGAGAGAAAGAUGCCUGUCUCCACGUGGUGCGAAAAAGACUACAGGAUUCUGUAUUAUGUCGUGUUAAAACAAUUUGGAAUAUAAAGGAUUCUGGAGUUUAUAAAGUGCAAGAUUUUGUAGAAGUUCAAUUUUUUAAAAAGAGGGCUUAGACAUGGCGACAAGAAUGAAGGUGGAGGGGAAGGAGUGGAGAGAAAGAUGUCUGUCUCCACGUGGUGCGAAAAAGACUAUACAGGAUUCUGUAUUAUGCCGCGUUAAAACAAUCUGGAAUAUAAAGGAUUCUGGAGUUUAUAAAGUGCAAGAUUUUGUAGAAGUUCAAUUUUUUAAAAAGAGGGCUCAGACAUGGCGACAAGAAUGAAGGUGGAGGGGAAGGAGUGGAGAGAAAGAUGCCUGUCUCCACGUGGUGCGAAAAAGACUACAGGAUUCUGUAUUAUGUCGUGUUAAAACAAUUUGGAAUAUAAAGGAUUCUGGAGUUUAUAAAGUGCAAGAUUUUGUAGAAGUUCAAUUUUUUAAAAAGAGGGCUUAGACAUGGCGACAAGAAUGAAGGUGGAGGGGAAGGAGUGGAGAGAAAGAUGUCUGUCUCCACGUGGUGCGAAAAAGACUAUACAGGAUUCUGUAUUAUGUCGCGUUAAAACAAUCUGGAAUAUAAAGGAUUCUGGAGUUUAUAAAGUGCAAGAUUUUGUAGAAGUUCAAUUUUUUAAAAAGAGGGCUCAGACAUGGCGACAAGAAUGAAGGUGGAGGGGAAGGAGUGGAGAGAAAGAUGCCUGUCUCCACGUGGUGCGAAAAAGACUACAGGAUUCUGUAUUAUGUCGUGUUAAAACAAUUUGGAAUAUAAAGGAUUCUGGAGGAGUCUAGGAUGGCAAAACUGGGGCGUGAUGGGCAGCAUGAAACAUAACAAAGGUGGAUAUCCGUCAUUUGCCGUCGGAGAGGAAGAAGACGGUAGGCGGGCUCAGAAGAUGACGCAGAAACAGCCGUCGAGCGAGGCGAUUAGCAGAGGCUGCAGCUCCCACAGCUCGCGUUUCUGUUUUGGCAGCGUGCGCUCGCGUGUGGAUGGAGCUCGUACGCCAGGAAGAAUUGGCGUCUCGAUGGAGCUCGUACGCCAGGAAGAACUGGCGUUCGUUGGACCUCGUCCUCGUUCGUGGGUUGCGGAGCUGUUUUUUUAUUGACUGGGGGCUCAGGAGAUGACACAGAAACAGCCGUCGAGCGAGGCGAUCAGCAGAGGCUGCAGCUCCCACAACUCGCGUUUCUGUUUUGGCGGCGUGCGCUCGCGUGUGGA